This 77-nucleotide microRNA precursor is filed under the name Lepidothrix coronata (blue-crowned manakin). RNAcentral describes it as "miRNA (ENSLCOG00000002430.1)". It matches the Rfam family "mir-9/mir-79 microRNA precursor family". Rfam says of the family: The mature ~21nt miRNAs are processed from hairpin precursor sequences represented here. miR-9 is processed from the 5' arm of its precursor, and miR-79 from the 3' arm. The record is from RNAcentral. Lineage: Eukaryota; Metazoa; Chordata; Aves; Passeriformes; Pipridae.
GGUUUUUCUCUUUGGUUAUCUAGCUGUAUGAGUGUAUGUGAUAUCAUAAAGCUAGAGAACCGAAUGUAAAAACCCGC